AAGCGCUUGCAAUCAGACUUGCAUGCAGCUGAUCAUCCGAUGUUCUCACCGGUGCACUCAGUUGCAUACAGGCCAGCAUCAGUUUUGGUGGUUGGAUAAAGGCCUAGGGAAUGUAGCUUCUCUCGGGGAGUGUUAUAGCCCAUUGUGUAAUACCCUGUGGUGGACUGAGGUUCGCGCAUCUGCAAGGAUGCUGGCGUAAUGGUCAUCAGCGA
RNAcentral lists this ribosomal RNA (212 nucleotides) under fungal sp. RNAcentral's name for it is "partial large subunit ribosomal RNA". The record is from RNAcentral. Lineage: Eukaryota; Fungi.